GGAAGCUUGCUCAUCAUACAUGCUGGUAUCUAGGGGAUUCACAGAGGAAUUCUAAGAAUGAGAAUCUUGGCCUUUCUCAACUUGUAAGUAGAACAUGGACUAGUUUGCCAUGGAUACAAACUUGAAAGUGACUGUAACAAGCAAAGAAGAUGAGGCGUGCAGUGGCACUGUGAUGGAAAGCUGA
This 184-nucleotide long non-coding RNA is filed under the name Mus spicilegus (steppe mouse). RNAcentral describes it as "lncRNA (ENSMSIG00000025658.1)". The record is from RNAcentral. Lineage: Eukaryota; Metazoa; Chordata; Mammalia; Rodentia; Muridae.